AAGUCGUAACAAGGUUUCCGUAGGUGAACCUGCGGAAGGAUCAUUAACAAAUCAAUGAGUUGGUGUCUUGAUUGGGGGGAAACCCUCACAUCAGGUUCCAACAAAUAAACCCGAACCUGCGCAGCAAUGCCAGGCUAGGUGUGGGGAGUCUGGUAAAAAGGACUGCCUGCGGUGACGGAUCGGACUCUUCACGGGGUCUAGUCUCGAUCCACAUAGACGCUUUUUUUGUUUGACAGUAUCAGUUGACACUAUAAAAAAUGACAACUUUUAACAAUGGAUCUCUUGGCUCUU
RNAcentral lists this unclassified non-coding RNA (291 nucleotides) under fungal sp. Its description in RNAcentral is "partial internal transcribed spacer region". The stretch from base 1 to 46 matches the Rfam family "Eukaryotic small subunit ribosomal RNA", at positions 1786 to 1831 of the family's 1831-position model. RNAcentral also lists the same sequence under 1 other name. Lineage: Eukaryota; Fungi. The record is from RNAcentral.